AUUGUAUUUGAAUUGGUCCAUGGUUUCUGUCGAGAAGCAACAAUCGAAUACUGCAAGCACUGAACAUGCCAGUCAUUUUGUCUUCAUGUCAAACUGGACUUGUAAGCAUAUUCACGAAGAUUCAGCAGCAUGGUGCAAGGCUGACAGGCACUACUUGUUCAUAACAAUCAGAUACGGGAAUAGCAACACUGCAUGAUAAUUUUUGGAGUCUCUGUUCGGACAGUUCAGUAACAUAUUGAAAACCUAUACGACUCACAAGAUUUAAGUGUUGUGAUGAUUGGACAAGGAGCAUCAGAUCAUGUCGUUGUCUUGUCCCCUAUUUAAGUCUUAUUCUAGUUUUCAAAUUAUAAUUGCAUGGUAGUCAUCAGCCCCUGCUUUGCCUUAGUUAGACAGCUACUUCUUUUCCACAGGUUAGAACAGCACAUUCAUUUGCAUUGGCCUAAGUAAACUAGAGUGGCUUAAAAAAAGAAGCUAAUGCAGCACAUACAUAAUGUACGCAUUAGUGAUAAAAUAUGUGGAAAAGGAAUAAAAUCUAGUAGUAGCAGUUUCUUCCCGUCAAGACCAAAUCAUUACGUAAAACUUCUAAAUUUAUGAGGCUAUAAAAGAGCUAUAAAAACACAAAAUCACGAGCAAUUCCAUGACCGCUUGUAUCCUUGGUGAAUUGCCCCAACAUUUCGAGAGGACGAGGCAAGAUGUCGGUCGAGGACGUCGGCGUGUAGUCGCCCGAGGCGUCGCCGGGGCACUACGUGGGGCGGGUCGACGAGGUGCCGCCCGAUGAUGACGGCUGCGACGACGCCCUUGAGGCCGACGGGCGGGGCACCGGGGAUGAUGACCCCUUCGACAUCCCCGCCGAGCGCAAGCCGGUCGAGAGGCUAUGGCGGUGGAGGGUUGCUAUGACGCGGACAAGCUGCUGCUGCAGGUGGACGAAUCCUCAUGGAUGCUCAACCUAUCUCUCCUACGACCACAC
Hordeum vulgare subsp. vulgare (domesticated barley) is the source of this 967-nucleotide long non-coding RNA. RefSeq lists it as uncharacterized. NCBI's taxonomy places the organism in Eukaryota, Viridiplantae, Streptophyta, Magnoliopsida, Poales, Poaceae. The transcript is spliced from 2 exons. The record is from RefSeq and is a predicted model, not a curated record.